GUAGGGUGCGAGCGUUAAUCGGAAUUACUGGGCGUAAAGCGUGCGCAGGCGGUUCGUUGUGUUUGCGGUGAAAGCCCCGGGCUCAACCUGGGAAUGGCCGUGAAAACUGGCGAGCUGGAGUGUGGCAGAGGGGGGUGGAAUUCCAGGUGUAGCAGUGAAAUGCGUAGAGAUCUGGAGGAACACCGUGGCGAAGGCAGCCCCCUGGGCUGACACUGACGCUCAGGCACGAAAGCGUGGGGAGCAAACAGGAUUAGAUACCCUGGUAGUCCACGCCCCAAACGAUGACAACUAGAUGUCGGGAGGGUUUGCCUUCCGGUGUCGUAGCUAACGCGUUAAGUUGUCCGCCUGGGAAGUACGGCCGCAAGGUUG
This 369-nucleotide ribosomal RNA is filed under the name uncultured bacterium. Its description in RNAcentral is "bacterial SSU rRNA". It matches the Rfam family "Bacterial small subunit ribosomal RNA", at positions 527 to 896 of the family's 1533-position model. The record is from RNAcentral.